GACGAACGCUGGCGGCGUGCUUAAUACAUGCAAGUCAACUGAACUUUAGGUAGCAAUAUUUAAAGGGAGGUGGCGCACGGGUGAGUAACACGUAGGUAAUCUGCCUUCAGGACUGACAUAAUUCCGCGAAAGCGGGACUAAUAUCAGAUGAUGCAGCGGCUCGACAUCGAGACAGUUGUUAAACCUUCGGGGCCUGAAGAUGAGCCUGCGUCUGAUUAGGUAGUUGGAGGGGUAAUGGCCCACCAAGCCUGCGAUCAGUAGCUGGUCUGAGAGGAUGAUCAGCCACACUGGAACUGAGACACGGUCCAGACUCCUACGGGAGGCAGCAGUAAGGAUAUUGCUCAAUGGCCGAAAGGCUGAAGCAGCAACGCCGCGUGGAGGAUGAAAUACUUUAGUAUGUAAACUCCUGUAAGAGGGGAAAAUAUACAAUUAUGUUGUAUUGAUUGUACCCUCAGAGUAAGCACCGGCUAACUACG
This 476-nucleotide ribosomal RNA is filed under the name uncultured bacterium. RNAcentral's name for it is "bacterial SSU rRNA". It matches the Rfam family "Bacterial small subunit ribosomal RNA", at positions 28 to 505 of the family's 1533-position model. The record is from RNAcentral.